UCUGCCUCUCCCUCACCCUCGCCGCCCCACCGGCAGCCGAGGAGUAGAUUUGGGGAGGAGGAGGGUGGGGUUGGCUCUCGGCGACCGCCAACACCAGCAGCGCCGCCGCCGCCGCCACAGCGCUCCCAAAUUCGCCUCCGUCCGGCAUUCCGGCUCCUCAGCAGCCCUCGAGGCUUCGCGCCCCGCAGCGGGAAAGCAGGACUCUCCGGGCGCGAGCGUAAAAAUAUAAUAAUAAAGCGCGGAAGGGAGAGAGAGAGAGAGAAGAGCCGCCUCAGCGCGCCGCUACCACCAGCAGCAAGACCGGCGGCAGCGGCUUGUCUUGCUUGCUUCCUUCGCCAGCCUGGGAGCUCUGCCCGCAGCCGCUCGGAGGAGCCUCUUGGCAGCUUCCCGCGUCAAGGUGAUGGUGAACUGAAACAGGACUCUGUAUCAUGCCUUGAAGUAAGUAGAGUUUGUAUCUUAGUGUUGUUGCUUAUUCUGUCGCAUCAUAAUGAUUUAUCUCUUAAUAUUUUGUCCCAAGCUUCUUCUGAAAAAUGGCAACUUGUCAUGACAGAUGGGUCUGUACAAAUGCUUGUUUAUUUUCAUCUGAGGCAAGAUCAGGGAAGGGGGGCUGUUCACACGAUAAGUUCUGAAAAAAACAACACUUUAACCUAUCAUUUGUUCAGACUUACAAUGUGAGAUUCAGAAUUUGAACUGAGUUGAAUUAGAGGUUGGCAGUCACUGAGUGAAUCAGAAGUUCUGGACGGAUUCACAUAGACCCUACUUGGUACCUUAGGUUGAAAGCAUUGGGAGUGUGGAG
RNAcentral lists this long non-coding RNA (796 nucleotides) under Podarcis muralis (Common wall lizard). Its description in RNAcentral is "lncRNA (ENSPMRG00000014627.1)". Lineage: Eukaryota; Metazoa; Chordata; Lepidosauria; Squamata; Lacertidae. The record is from RNAcentral.